This is a non-coding RNA of Xyrichtys novacula (pearly razorfish), 3547 nucleotides long. The record is from the annotation of a GenBank genome assembly. NCBI's taxonomy places the organism in Eukaryota, Metazoa, Chordata, Actinopteri, Labriformes, Labridae.
ACAGUUUGGUAAUAUUUAAGAUAUGGAUCUUUAUGCAGAGCUGGUAAGUGUAUGAAAAGUUGAAAGAGUAAAGCUGUGUGUGCGUAUGUGUCUGUCUGUAUGUGUGUGUGUGUGUGUGUGUGUGUGUGUGUGUGUGUAACCUUAGGAGGAAAACUUCUCAUAGAUAAACACAUGGUACCCUGUUCACACUUAAAUGGGACUAGCCGCAGAGAGUUUGGCAUCUAGGAGGUGGUGCAGUUACAGUCAUGUUGACAGCUGAGCCGUUGUACCAGUUAUGUGAAUCAUAUGCCUUGCUCAGCGGCACCUUGGCAGUGGUAAUGAAGAAUUUUUAAUGAUCUGAUCAGGAGGUGUGAGCAAAAGAUGUGUCCUUAUCUGUUGGUAUUGAUGAACCACUCUUAAUAUUUGUAAUGAGACUUACUGAAUGAAAAGAAUGCUUGUUGCUUGUUUUCAUACCAGUUGUAGGUCUUUCAGUAUCUGCUGUUAUUGCGCCUGUGUGUAUGUUUGGUGUUUGAUAUUUGACUGUAGAAAAAUAGAGAAAGAGCGUACAUUAAACAAAAAAACAAGCUGUGUUAGAGAUUAUAUGAUCAAAGUCGACUGAUAUCAGUUCUCCAACUGCCGCUGAGAGAGCAGGUCAGCGGAUGGCUGAUAUAUGAUGCCGAUGUCAUACAGUUUGGGUUUCUUUUGGGGGGGCUUUGACAAAAUACAACAAUUAAAUUAACUGACAAAUGGAAAUCAAUGAACUCCAGUGAACAUUUUAUCAAUAUGGUAGUAAAUGUAGUCAUAUGGGACUUAGUAAAAUAUUACUACGAGGGACUUUUUAAAUUCUGUCCAGCAAUCCUCCAAUUGUGAAGAAAAAAAUAAAACAUUAUAAGGUGAAUAAAAGAGACAUACCGCUGAUACAUACCAGUGUAUAUCUGAUAUACUGGUUAUCUUGGUAAUAUGCUUUUGAUGUACUUUGAUUAAAUCAAUGGAGGACAAAGAUUUGGGGUUUUGCUAAGGAUUUUGGAAAAUGAUAUUGCCGUCAAUAAUCAACUGCAUUAUUCCACACAUCAUAGUAGAAUUUAAAUUAAACCCAAGCCAGUGACAAUUGUAAGUUUGAUAUGCUGUAAAAAGAUUAUGGGAAAAAUGCGAUUUCAAUUAAUAAGGCACAUGGUGAUAUCGCCUUGGGAGGGCCAAUGCUAAUAUCACACAGUUUAUGGCAAAUUGCAUUUAACCAGCCCGAUGAAUCUGUCUAUUUCUGUUAUAUACUGUUGGCGUUGAGGACCUUUUGUGUCACUGUUUUCUGUUUUCACGCAGAUGAGGUGAUGACGAAAAAGAAAUACAAAUCAAUAUAAAAAUUUCGUCCUACUCCUUCUAUUGUUUUCUCGAAUCUUCCUUUUUUUGUUUAUUUCACAGAAAAAAAACAUUUGAGGCUGAGGGUUUAAACCAGACAGGACACACAAGACAAUAAUGACACAGCUCUGUGAUCCACCGCUAAUGUGAUCAUUGGAUGUUUGUUUUGAGGGAGAGAGCUCAAAAUCCCAUGUUGCUCAGCUUUCCUUCAUUCUGGUCCCAUUAAGCGCUGGCAGGGCUCUUGUUUUUCCGUUGUUGUUGAAAGGAGCCCUUUCAUAUUCAUAUUGCAUGUCCCGAAGUCUGGACGCUGUGUGUGUGCAUUUGUGUGUUUGUGUUUGUUUUCUUGAGCUAGCCCGUAAAAUGAAUGCUCUCCAAAAUGUAAAUGCAGAAAAAAUAAACUAAAACAGGAAAACUUCAGUUGUCAGUUAUGAGGAUGAAAAACACUCAGCGGCUAAGUGUAGGUUCUUCUUAGCAGCAUGAAAACAGGAGAAAUACAUGCCAUUUUAACACGCUCCCUAAUGAAUACCUAUUAGUAUAAUGACUUUAUUCCUAAUUUUAAAUGGCAGUGAUUCAUGUUAAAACCAAAGGAACAGGACUAAUCCUGAAUGAGUACAGACGGAGCAAACUAAAUCUUUCUUUUCUUAACAAAGUUCUGAUUUAAUCCAAUUCAUGUGAAAUUGAAGAUGUAUAAAAAGUUGAAUUUGUCGUGUAAACACCACACACCAUACCAUAGAGAACUCACUGCAGGGUUCAUUAGCUAAAACAAGCAGAAAUUUAUGUUUCACUUCAAUUUUUCAUGAAUCACAUCUUGACUCUUUUUGUGGUUUUAACGUAUUAGCGAUUAGCUGAUAUCCAAGACUGGCUAAAGUAAAAAUAUAGACUACCUUGGAAGGUGUUUCUGUGCCAGUUCUUAUCACGGUAAAAGAAAGAAGUAUGAUUUUAGCACUGCAGCAUAGACAUGAUAUAUUUCAGUCCUUCUUGCUCAGAGUAAGUUGUUGAUCAAUAUGCCCAGCGGGUGCGAUGAAUAUGCACGAGGCGUCCGCCGCGGCGGCCCGGUAAUUGCCGGUCGUCAGGGGUGGCAGGCACCGUAAUUUGCAUCUCGGGGAUCCUGCAAUCAGCGUUCUAUUCAUUAGCGCGCCAGCCGCUUCAUCUGCUGGCCACUCAAAGCUGCCAAUCUCCCCUCAGCAGCCAAAGCAUGAGAAAAAAAACAGAAUGGAAAAGUUUCAAUUACAAGCCUGCGGGUAGUGGUGUAACAAGUCUUACACCCUAUAUUUAGGCUGUUUAAUGCAAGUGAUUGGCUGUUACUGCAUUGUGAAAGGGAACUGGGGGGAAAAGCUCAGUAAAACCAGCAUAAUCUCAUGUAUUUUAUAUCACCUUUAUCCAAGGGUGAACGUGUGCAUUCACAGGGGGGGAGAGGACGCCGGAUAAGACAUCUUUGCCUGCUUGAAGUGGGUCUCCGGUAAGUCAGUGGAGGCAAAGGGGGGGAGGGGUCACAUGAAAGAAAGCUUAUUAUGUGGCCAUAAGUGAACGCUGGCACUCAAGGACAUUGUCUCCAAGACAAAACAUGCAGUGAGCAGGCUAUAGGCUAACACAGGGGGAGCAUAUUGAAACGGCACAUGGAAGUCUACGAUCAGAAAAACUGAUUGAUAAGUGACUUUUGUGGCUCUUUCAUUUUUCCUUGUGCGUUUUUUUUUUUAAUUUCUUAACCUUUACUUUAGAAAUGAAGACACACAAUUAGAAGCCACGCGUGUGUGUGUGUGCGCCUGUGUGCAUGUGUGUUUGUGUAUCACCAUUGUAGCAGGAAGGGAGUUCCUUGUGGUAUGAAGGGUCUCAAGCGAGUGCACCUAUUUGUGUGUGUGUGUGUUUGCAGCAAAGUGCUGUGGAUCUUCCAUUGUUGUACAGUGACACAGUUGCUGUUUCCUGCAUCAUAAAUCUAAGUAUUAACACACAAAUGUUUAUAAUUUGUACACAACUACAAAAUUAUGCUUAAAAGUCAGGUACAGAUAUGACACAAAAAAUACACAAAUCCGUACGGGAUGUGAUAACAUCUAACAAGGGAAGUACAUAGUCAUUUGAAAAGGCACACACACACACACAACCACACACACACACGCAUUUCUGCACACCGCUCCUUUGCCCUGCCAUUGUCUCACAGAGGAAGCCUGUAAGACAAGUAGGAGGUCAGAUCUUGUCCUCCUCUGAAAGAGAGCACAGG